AUGAAGGCUCACUGGGUGUCCCCACUGGGGACUCGGGCAGAGGAGAGGAUGCAGGAGAGCGCCAAUUCUCCCAGACUGCUCACUUUGAAGAACAGCAAACGGAGCUGUCCAACCAGCUCUGACUCUGUCUUUAACACUGGUGGGAGUUCCCCAAACCUACUGGUGGCAGACACUCCAGCCGGAGAAGCCGGGCCCCAGGCCCCUUGGCCCUCUCUGUCCACCUCUGCUGCUGAUGGAGUAACCAUCCUGUGGCUUUGGGUUGCAGCCUUUUGUACUCUGCCCCACCCUAUCCAGGGUAUUUCACAAGAGUGCCCACAAUCGACCCCCAGCGGCCUGCUCAGCCCUCUCUGGCCACUGACUACUCUCUGGCUCCCUGCUCAGGGUCCGCACCCACAGGGCAAGGAACAAAAACCAGAGGCCACCCUCCCACCCACUUGGUCAUCUUUUCCGCAGCCCUGCCAAGGACAUUUUUACCCACCUAGUCCUGGGAUUCCUGGCUCAGCUGGACCCCCUCUGCCCCCCCCCACUCCCUCCAUGACCUUCCAGGUUAGAUGCAGGGAGGUAAAUGGAGGCCUAACAAGCACUGUGGUGCCCUCCUGGAGAAGCUACAAGCACUCAGGCAAUUUGGGGCUGCGGGGUCUUCUCAGCCCUAUCAGGUCACUAAAGUAUGGCUGGCGAGGUGGAGGCAAACACUCACUCAGGGUAGAGACCCCUCCUCACCCAGCCCUGCAUCAGGAUGCGAGGCUGCAGGCAAGGGGGCCAGAGACGCCUCCCCACAGCCAUGCCCCGAGGCUCCGGCCCCAAUGUUCUUCCAGAGCAGAGGAUGGGGCAGAGGAGCUGGAGGCCAGAAGGUCCUCAGGGCCCCACGCCUACCCUGGGAGUCAAGUCCUCAAGGCAGAGCUGGAGGAGCUCCCCCAACCUCAGGUCCAGGUCCAGCGUCACUGCACUGGUCCUGCCACUGUCAGUCCAAAGGAAAAGCCCUGGCACCAGCUUUUCCCACCCGCCAUCCUCCCUCCACCCUACGAAUGCUGA
This 1032-nucleotide long non-coding RNA is filed under the name Delphinapterus leucas (beluga whale). RNAcentral's name for it is "lncRNA (ENSDLEG00000003239.1)". Lineage: Eukaryota; Metazoa; Chordata; Mammalia; Artiodactyla; Monodontidae. The record is from RNAcentral.